GAUGAACGCUAGCGGGAGGCCUAACACAUGCAAGCUGAGCGGUAGAGGCCCUUCGGGGUCUUGAGAGCGGCGUACGGGUGCGGAACACGUGUGCAACCUGCCUUUAUCAGGGGGAUAGCCUUUCGAAAGGAAGAUUAAUACCCCAUAAUAUUUUGGAUGGCAUCAUUUAAAAUUGAAAACUGAGGUGGAUAAAGAUGGGCACGCGCAAGAUUAGAUAGUUGGUGAGGUAACGGCUCACCAAGUCGAUGAUCUUUAGGGGGCCUGAGAGGGUGAUCCCCCACACUGGUACUGAGACACGGACCAGACUCCUACGGGAGGCAGCAGUGAGGAAUAUUGGACAAUGGGUUAGCGCCUGAUCCAGCCAUCCCGCGUGAAGGACGACGGCCCUAUGGGUUGUAAACUUCUUUUGUACAGGGAUAAACCUAUCUACGUGUAGAUAGCUGAAGGUACUGUACGAAUAAGCACCGGCUAACUCCGUG
Molecule: ribosomal RNA, 479 nt
Filed under: uncultured organism
Description: bacterial SSU rRNA
Rfam family: Bacterial small subunit ribosomal RNA
Source: RNAcentral